AAAUAUAGAAAAGCUCAAUAUCAAGAAUUAUUCCAGAAGUUUGCGAUGCGAUAGUUCAGUCACUUCAGGAAUAUGUAAAGGUACCAUUGACUACAGAAGAGUGGCUUCAAAUCUACUCCGAAUUUGAAAGAAAGUGGCAAUUUCCUCACGUUAUCGGGGCUAUGGAUGGAAAACACGUUGCUUUACAAGCACCUAUUAAUUCAGGGAGUGAAUACUACAACUAUAAAUUUUUUUUAGCAUUGCGCUGUUUGAAAUAGUCGACGCAGACUACAAUUUUAUCUAUGCUGAUGUAGGAUGUCAAGGGCGGAUAUCGGACGGUGGUGUAUUCAAAAAUACGACAUUGUACAAUAAAUUGGAGAGGCGCGAAUUAAAUAUUCUUCGCGCAGCAGUGUUACAAGUCCUAUAUUCUAUAGAAUGUUGAAUCAAUGUUCGUGGCUCUCUUCAAAACAAGCACUUUUCCUGAAUACCAAAACUGCCAGAAUCUUCUCCACGCACGAUUCACCAACCAAGUUGGCGACUUCAUGAGAUGAAGUAAACUGAUCUAUUGUUGAGAGUUGAAACAAAGUCCUCUACUUCGAAAUGUUUGUGUCAAAUAUCGUAUAGUGCCUUUGUGAACACUUUCAAUAAAACUUGGAAUAUCAUUUUUUUGCGUAGAGCAUUAUUUCUAUAAAUGAAUUUUCCUUCAACUAGAGUUCUU
Molecule: long non-coding RNA, 697 nt
Organism: Leptinotarsa decemlineata (Colorado potato beetle)
Lineage: Eukaryota; Metazoa; Arthropoda; Insecta; Coleoptera; Chrysomelidae
Source: RefSeq, a predicted model, not a curated record